This 74-nucleotide transfer RNA is filed under the name Danionella translucida. It matches the Rfam family "tRNA". Rfam says of the family: Transfer RNA (tRNA) molecules are approximately 80 nucleotides in length. Their secondary structure includes four short double-helical elements and three loops (D, anti-codon, and T loops). Further hydrogen bonds mediate the characteristic L-shaped molecular structure. tRNAs have two regions of fundamental functional importance: the anti-codon, which is responsible for specific mRNA codon recognition, and the 3' end, to which the tRNAs corresponding amino acid is attached (by aminoacyl-tRNA synthetases). tRNAs cope with the degeneracy of the genetic code in two manners: having more than one tRNA (with a specific anti-codon) for a particular amino acid; and 'wobble' base-pairing, i.e. permitting non-standard base-pairing at the 3rd anti-codon position. RNAcentral also lists the same sequence under 1 other name. Lineage: Eukaryota; Metazoa; Chordata; Actinopteri; Cypriniformes; Danionidae. The record is from Rfam by way of RNAcentral.
GUCUCUGUGGCGCAAUCGGUUAGCGCGUUCGGCUGUUGACUGAAAGGUUGGUGGUUCAAGCCCACCCAGGAACG